Molecule: ribosomal RNA, 539 nt
Filed under: uncultured Geobacteraceae bacterium
Lineage: Bacteria; Pseudomonadati; Thermodesulfobacteriota; Desulfuromonadia; Geobacterales; Geobacteraceae
Description: bacterial SSU rRNA
Rfam family: Bacterial small subunit ribosomal RNA
Source: RNAcentral
GAGUUUGAUCCUGGYUCMKAACGAACGCUGGCGGCGUGCUUAACACAUGCAAGUCGAACGUGAUCCGGAGCUUGCUCCGGUGAAAGUGGCGCACGGGUGAGUAACGCGUGGAUAAUCUGCCCUGGUAUCUGGGAUAACAUCKCGAAAGGGGUGCUAAUACCGGAUAAGCCUACGGACUCUUCGGAGUCUGCAGGAAAAGGUGGCCUCUAUUUAUAAGCUACCGUAUCAGGAUGAGUCCGCGUACCAUUAGCUAGUUGGUGGGGUAAUGGCCCACCAAGGCWACSAUGGUUAGCUGGUCUGAGAGGAUGUUCAGCCACACUGGAACUGAGACACGGUCCAGCCUCCUACGGGAGGCAGCAGUGGGGAAUUUUGCGCAAUGGGGGAAACCCUGACGCAGCAACGCCGCGUGAGUGAUGAAGGCUUUCGGGUCGUAAAGCUCUGUCAGAGGGGAAGAAAUGAGACUGGCUAAUAUCCAGUUUUCUUGACGGUACCCUCAAAGGAAGCACCGGCUAACUCCGUGCCAGCAGCCGCGGUAAUAC